GUCCUGGGGCCCGUUUCAAGAAGGAGGUUUAACAAACUCUGAGUUAAAACGAAACUCUGAGUUGAUUUACUCUGAGUUUGUAAACCUGGAGUUUUCGGUUUCAGAACAGCUGAAAAGAGUUGGUUUAAGCAACUCUGAGUUGUGUGACUCAGAGUUAAGCGCGUGCACCGCGACGAUACAAAGCCCUGAUCAAUGGAGUGAAGAUAUUACGAGUCACCAUGGCAACAGGACAACAAAAGACGUCCGGAAAUGGAUAUGAUACGUCAAGCAUAUAACGACUACGAGUCUAUAAUCCGUAGAAAAAGCAACACGGCUGCAGCGGCGAAAGAGAAAGAAUUAGCUUGGAAGAAAAUAGCUGCUCGAGUCAAUGCCCAACAGAAAGUAGGCAGAGGCUAGAACAACUGGUGGAGGACCUGCACCUCCACCUCUGACGCAUGCAGAGGAGAAGGCCCUCAGCCUGAACACUGGAAAGCAGAGGCUGAAGGAAUUCAUCAGAACCCGUCACUCCUCAGGAUUGAGUGCAUGUGUAAAAUGUUCUGAUGGUAAUAUAUGAAUCCUCCUGUCACAACAAAAGCCCAGGAUGUUGUAAGUAUACUACUAAAUAAAGCUUAAAUUAUGAUAAGCAGUAUUAUAAAGUGUAAUAUUAUUACAGUUUAUACACAUCACAUGAUUUCUGAAGUUUGUGUUGCGUAGCCUAAAGGAUGUAACUUGAUCUCCAAGUAUAGUGACAUUAUUAUCUCCCCUCUGCCCCAGAGUGUGGAAGAACAGCAGGAGGAGCUCAGUCACAUUCUGCUGCACAGAUGCACACAGUUCAGUGAUGUUCAGUAAAUGCCAGAGUUCAAUUCUGUAAGAGUAAUGAGGAACAUGUCAUGUCAAGAUGUCAUGUAACUCUAAAUCUUCUGUAUUUUAAGUUACCGGUUAUUGAGUUGUAUAAACUACAUCUCAAGGAAAUGUUCCCAAACACAAGCUGGAGAUGAGUGUAUAGUUGAAGCUGAAUUGUAUGAAUUAUUGGAAAAAUCAUAAAAUCUAAAAAUUGCCUUUGUAUUUGUAGGGAAUGAAAAAAAAAAUUAUGAUUUACAUCUAUUCAGUUUCUUUUAUUGGUGGUGAUGGUUGAUUAAGACAUUAAAGCAAAUCUGUCCAUCCACUCUGCAGAUUACUGUGAUGGAAGGAGUCUCCUCGGAGUCUUGUAUUUGUAGGGCAGGGUGUUGCUCCUCUCUAAUAAUUGCAAUAUUGUGGAGAACAACACAUGUCACAUU
This is a long non-coding RNA of Betta splendens (Siamese fighting fish), 1256 nucleotides long. RefSeq lists it as uncharacterized. The record is from RefSeq and is a predicted model, not a curated record. The transcript has 3 exons. NCBI's taxonomy places the organism in Eukaryota, Metazoa, Chordata, Actinopteri, Anabantiformes, Osphronemidae.